ACCAAGGCCCUUUUCAGGGCCACUCCCAGAGCUGAAGCAAGGGCU
Erinaceus europaeus (western European hedgehog) is the source of this 45-nucleotide non-coding RNA. The record is from Rfam. Lineage: Eukaryota; Metazoa; Chordata; Mammalia; Eulipotyphla; Erinaceidae.